This 253-nucleotide ribosomal RNA is filed under the name uncultured bacterium. RNAcentral describes it as "partial 16S ribosomal RNA". It matches the Rfam family "Bacterial small subunit ribosomal RNA", at positions 524 to 776 of the family's 1533-position model. The record is from RNAcentral.
UACGAGGGGGGCAAAUGUUGUUCGGAAUCACUGGGCGUAAAGGGAGCGUAGGCGGGUGCUUAAGUUAGGUGUUUAAUCCUGGGGCCCAACCCCAGUCGUGCACCUAAAACUGGACAUCUUGAAUAGUGGAGAGGUCAGUGGAAUUGGGGGUGUAGCGGUGGAAUGCGUAGAGAUCCCCAAGAACACCAGUUGCGAAGGCGGCUGACUGGACACAUAUUGACGCUGAGGCUCGAAAGCAUGGGGAGCAAACAGG